This 497-nucleotide ribosomal RNA is filed under the name uncultured bacterium. Its description in RNAcentral is "partial 16S ribosomal RNA". It matches the Rfam family "Bacterial small subunit ribosomal RNA", at positions 28 to 507 of the family's 1533-position model. The record is from RNAcentral.
GAUGAACGCUGGCGGCGUGCCUAAUACAUGCAAGUCGAGCGAACAGACGAGGAGCUUGCUCCUCUGACGUUAGCGGCGGACGGGUGAGUAACACGUGGAUAACCUACCUAUAAGACUGGGAUAACUUCGGGAAACCGGAGCUAAUACCGGAUAAUAUAUUGAACCGCAUGGUUCAAUAGUGAAAGACGGUUUUGCUGUCACUUAUAGAUGGAUCCGCGCCGCAUUAGCUAGUUGGUAAGGUAACGGCUUACCAAGGCAACGAUGCGUAGCCGACCUGAGAGGGUGAUCGGCCACACUGGAACUGAGACACGGUCCAUACUCCUACGGGAGGCAGCAGUAGGGAAUCUUCCGCAAUGGGCGAAAGCCUGACGGAGCAACGCCGCGUGAGUGAUGAAGGUCUUCGGAUCGUAAAACUCUGUUAUUAGGGAAGAACAAAUGUGUAAGUAAAUAUGCACGUCUUGACGGUACCUAAUCAGAAAGCCACGGCUAACUACGUG